RNAcentral lists this long non-coding RNA (1875 nucleotides) under Marmota monax (woodchuck). Lineage: Eukaryota; Metazoa; Chordata; Mammalia; Rodentia; Sciuridae. The record is from RNAcentral.
CUGAGGAUGUGGCUCAGUGGUUAAGUGCCCCUGGGUUCAAUCCCUUGUACCAAAAAUGUGAAAAAUAAAAAAGCUCCAGGGAAGGGAGGUGUAGCUCAGAAGCAGGAUGCUUGUCUAGCAUGCUUGAGGCCCUUGGUUCAGUACUCAGCAUUACAAUAAAGGAAGUCUACCCUGAUUUCUGCCUCCCCACAACUCUUCCUAUUGGGGAUUCUACCCAGUCCUUACGCCUGAUAGGCAAAUGCUCUGCCAUUGAGGUUUUGUUUUUUGAGACAGUCUCCCUAAGUUAUGAGGCUGGCCUUAAACUUGCUCUCUCUCUGCCUCAGCCUCCUAAGACUGAGAUUAUAAGCAUGGGCCACUGUUCCCAGCCCUAAUUUUGCUCUUAAAUGUAGUGUCAUUCCUUCUCAGGCUCUUUUUUUAUAUAUAUGCAUGCUUUCUGUGUUGAUAGUGUGCUGUUGUGAUGGGCAAAAGGUGCAACUUAUGCAGUCCAGAGGGAGAAAUAAAGAAUGUCCAUGUGCUUCUGCCCUAGUCAAUGCUUUAUUCACUUAAAUCAUUCAAUACAGUUUCACUCUAUAGGUUCUUAUUCAAGAAAACGUCAAUCCUUAAUGCUAGGCACUGCAGUAGACAUAAUCACUUCACAGCAAACAAUUCUAGAUUAAUUCUAAGCACUGCAAACACAAUUAUCAUGACAGGCUAAUGACAGACAUUUCUUCUGCAUGCUAAGUUCAAGUGUCAGAUCAAAAGUCUCAAGCUUUAGGCUUUAAGUCUAGCAGAUGCAUGCAUGCACACUCACUCAGACCACGGUGAUCAGAUCAGGAAUCAAGGCAGGCUCUUCCUGGGGUGAGGAGAAGGUCAUAAGGGGAAGUUGUGGCUCUCACCAGAGUCAAGAUGUGGCUGUAGAGUUGGGGAGCUGUGAGGAAAAUACAGAGGAUCAGCAGACGAUGAAAAGUGUUGGGGUGUCAGUCCCAGGUCCUCAUCAGGCUCUCAGCUUGAGGGCAUCAUCAUUGUCAGCUGCCACCCAUCUCUCUCAGUGACAUCAUUUACCCUGGGGUUAAAAUAUCUGGUCUGGUAGUCCCCACCCUGAUCUUUUUGCCUUUUUCUCUUUUCUAUAUUGAGGUUCUGAGAUCAAUUUGAAACAAGCUAUAAAAUAUGAAGAAACUUACUAAUGAACUUCAGAGGCUGAUAUUAGAAGUAGAUCAGAAUUGAGUGUUUUAAGAUGUAUCUGAAUUCCGUAUAACUCAAUUCCCCCAUAAGGUGUACUCAAAAAAAGCCAGUGGACUUGAGCACCUUACUCUUUGUAUCAGGAAUGAUUUGAGUUAUAAGAAGAAGCAUUAUGGUAGCAUAAAUAAGUAUGGGAUUUAUUUUUGUCACUUAAUAGGUCUAGCUAUGAAUGACUAUAGUCAAGAUAUAGCUGGAGUUUCUUUGAUUCUCUUAAGGUUAAAAUAAUUAGCUCCCAUUUUUAAGGCAAGAAGGAGAGCUGAAGUUUUCUAAGAAGUUCCCAGCAGAUUCUUCCUCUAUAUCUCAUUGGCCAGAACUGGAUCCUGUGAUCACCUAUAGCUGGAAAGGAGGAUGAAAAUAAGGAGCAGAGUAGUCUUGACUGAUGUAUACCAGUAGUAGAUCUUUUCAUGGACUAGGCACACUGUUUAUUUAGAAAAUAAGGGAAAAUUGAUAUGGAUUGGAUAGGCCUCUUAUGGGUUUAUCACACAAGAAAAAGCAUUUGUCUGGGUACAGUAGCACACACCUGUAAUCCCAAAGAGUUUGGAGGCUGAGGUGAGAAGAUCAUAAGUUUGUAGCCAGAACAUAGCGAGAUGCUCAGUAACUUAGUAAGACCCUGUUCUCAAAAUAAAAAGGGGCUGGGGAUAUAGUUCAGUUGGUAGA